CAGUCGCCACGGGAAUACGGAGGGAGCUAGCGUUGUUCGGAAUUACUGGGCGUAAAGCGCACGUAGGCGGCUACUCAAGUCGGGGGUGAAAGCCCGGGGCUCAACCCCGGAACUGCCCUCGAAACUAGGUAGCUAGAAUCUUGGAGAGGUCAGUGGAAUUCCGAGUGUAGAGGUGAAAUUCGUAGAUAUUCGGAAGAACACCAGUGGCGAAGGCGACUGACUGGACAAGUAUUGACGCUGAGGUGCGAAAGCGUGGGGAGCAAACAGGAUUAGAUACCCCUGUAGUCCCUGUCUCUUAUAC
Molecule: ribosomal RNA, 301 nt
Filed under: uncultured bacterium
Lineage: Bacteria
Description: partial 16S ribosomal RNA
Rfam family: Bacterial small subunit ribosomal RNA
Source: RNAcentral